Long non-coding RNA from Papaver somniferum (opium poppy), 2087 nucleotides. RefSeq lists it as uncharacterized. The record is from RefSeq and is a predicted model, not a curated record. NCBI's taxonomy places the organism in Eukaryota, Viridiplantae, Streptophyta, Magnoliopsida, Ranunculales, Papaveraceae. The transcript has 8 exons.
UUUUCCUCGCGGAAGUGUAGCUGUUCCUCACUUCUUCCUCAUCACUCCGUCCUUUCUCUCUUCUUUGUUUUGAUUGUGAAGGACGGGGAAAAGAAGAUAGAAUCCAAAUUAUCGGGUUCCCUUUAGUUUUACUGGUCUGCGCUCUCAUCGGAACCACUACUUGAAAGGGCGGAAUAAAUUCCUUGGGAAACACAUGAAGAUAAUUCUAUCUUUCUGCUAGCUACUGCUGGGCUAAGAAGAUUGCCGAGUCAUGAUGCAGCUUGGAUUUUCGAAAAUGCAGAAGCUCCUGUUUAUGCGUAGGAUAACUUCUAUAAGGAUACUAACUGGACAGGAAGAGGCUUAUUAUAGUUGAAUCGCUCUUAACUACAAAAUGUGGACGCUGAACAAUUAUUCCAGUUUACCCACUUUAGGAGUUCUAGAUUUAGGGGUUUCGUCGUUGCAGGUUGUAAUGGAAAUCAAAGAACUGACGGAUGAUCGAAAUUCACUGCAGCUAAAAUUUGGUUCAGAUCAGCACCAAAUUUUAGCAUAUUCACUGCCCAGAUUUGGUCUACACGAGGCAUUUGGAAGGACAGUUAUCAUGCUUAUUCACUCAGAGAGAGUGUUUAUAACAGACUUCAAUUCAGACAUUCUUGUCUCAGUUUGGGAUUUGUUCCCAACCACUCUUGCGAUGGCUGUUACCUACAACAUCCCCACUUCAAACAAUAUUACUGGUCAUUACUGGUCUAUUUCAGAAAAAUCGGUCCACCUUGUUUUCUCUGAUAGGGGAUCCAAAUUGGAAGCCAUGUAAGAGAAUUGCUUAGGCUGCCGCAACCCAUUCGAACAACUUUGAUUGGUCACGAUUAACUGAGGGUAAGAACUGCAAAGGACGAUCAUCUUCCUUUAAGAGCACAUACUCAAAUUUGAUGUCCGUCCCUCAUCCAGUUUCAUGGUUUCAUGCCUUACCUGGACUUUUUGCCGUUUACAGUAUGCUAGAAUUGAAUCCAAGAGCUAAUUUGACUAAAAUUUGGAAGAAAGGCGAGAAAAAAUGUUCUGGGUCGUGGAUUGACUCAAAGAAAAUUUCUGGAAACAGAAAAUAUGUUAAUCAAUUCUGUUUUCGAGUUCCAUAUUUGGCAUCUCUCCUUGAGGAUACAUUAUGCUUGGGGGAUGCAGAAAUUAACUUCGGUCCUGGAGAUGUUUCUUGGACGUUAGGAGCUGCACUGGUUGAAGGAGAGCACAAAUGGCUGAGUAAUAAAGAACCUCAGACUGGUAGUUAUAACCUAAAGCUUACGGAGUAUGAGGUUAAUGCAUAGGGCUAUGGAGAAUUCGGGAAAACUAUCAUCUUUUGGGUAGAGGAAUCAAAUGUUAAGUUCUGGAAAGAUACAGAGAUGAAGACACAAUCUUCUUAAGCUGUCUAUCAGUUUAUAUACAAGAAUCCAGAGCUUGAUGAGAUGGCUCUAUGGGUUUCUGAAUGGUGAAUCUGAGGAUCCAACGGUGCGUAUUUAUUCAAGUUUCACUGUCUUUUGUGACCUUAGCAUGGAUGCAAAACAGAGGUUUAGGGGAGCUUAAUAUUCAAAGGUUUUGCUCAUUUGCCGUAGUGAUCUUUGUCAAUGACUACUUCGUACCGAACGAACUUGAAUAAUAAAUGAUUUUUGUCAGUGUCUACUUGGUAUUCAAUUUGGUUAUUAUGAACGAAGCAUAAAAGAAUUGAGUUGGUGAAGUUUUGACAUUGAGGAUCCAAUUAUGUCCAAGGACUGUGGACAGAUUUCUUGUAACAAGUGAGCAAACAAGGAGGAUAUCUGAGGUCGGUGGUUAAGUGUCUAACCCGUUUGCUCAUGGUUGGGAUCCAAUAUCGAUUGAUGGUUCCUGGUUAGUAUUAGAAGAAUGCUGACGAAGGGAUUGAAGUAAAACAAGGUAGUUGGUCAGUAGCUUCCUGACGCCAGUUGUUAUGGCUGACCUUUUACAUUGGAAUUGCUUACAAUUUUUACGUGGUUUAAAUUAGGGGUGUAAAUAAUACCCGAAAAUACUCGGCCUGACUGUACCCGUUUGACCCCGCCUGUACCCGAAGUAGCUCAAAGCCUGUUAUGGCCCGUCAUGGGCCACCCGGCCUG